Oncorhynchus keta (chum salmon) is the source of this 384-nucleotide long non-coding RNA. RefSeq lists it as uncharacterized. The record is from RefSeq and is a predicted model, not a curated record. NCBI's taxonomy places the organism in Eukaryota, Metazoa, Chordata, Actinopteri, Salmoniformes, Salmonidae. The transcript is spliced from 3 exons.
CAGAUUGAACACAGUAGAAGAGCUCUGGGGAGAAACCGUGUCAAGUCCUCCAUCUGUCUGGAGACCUUCAUGAAGUACAGUGAGCAGUACCUCCACCAUGACCCCAUCAUGUCAGGCUGUCUCCCUAGCAACCCCUGGAUCUCUGACGACACCUCACUCUGGACCAUCAACACUGACAUGGUGGACACUCCAACCAGGUUGAGAGUGGAGCGCUGGAGUUUCAGCUUCAUGGAACUUCUGAACGACUCGAUGGGAAGACGAGAGUUUAUGAUCUACCUGGAGAAAGAAUUCAGUGGUGAAACACCACACACACACACACACACACACACACACACACACACACACACACACAGAGUUUAUGAUCUACCUGGAGAAAGAAUUCAG